Molecule: long non-coding RNA, 513 nt
Organism: Ixodes scapularis (black-legged tick)
Lineage: Eukaryota; Metazoa; Arthropoda; Arachnida; Ixodida; Ixodidae
Exons: 3
Source: RefSeq, a predicted model, not a curated record
UGGGAAUUUUAUUUCGCUCGUCGCUGUAAACGUAGGACUGCUCGGACGAUUGAAUAUUUGGAGGGAGGUCCUGGCCAGGCGCUUGUAAGCCCGGCGGUGUUUGCGGUCUCCGCCAAUUACGCUCUGCUGUAUUUAGCGGCUCUUGGAUGCUCUGUAUGGAACUGCUCCCUGAUCUCCCGCACCUCGCGCUCCGAGCCGGAGACGCGGUAGAGGCCCACUUCCGAGAGCCCCCGGCGCUCCACUUCCUGAAUGCAGUGCACUACGACAGCCGGAACCAUGGGUGCAGUGGGGGGCACGUGGUCUGCAACGACAGUUCCCUUCCACGUGUGAGUUCCACCCUGGGUGGGCGUCUGGGACACCUGGACGCACGGGAGGGGAACCUGGGGAAAGGAGAGACGUCCUUCGUGAGAUCAAGCGGGUGCAGCGGUUAACAGUACACCAAAACUGCUUUGUUCAGAUUAUCGCUUUCAUCUAAGUUCAACAUGAUCCCAAUAAAAAUGCAUGCAUUUUGAA